This 1202-nucleotide long non-coding RNA is filed under the name Brassica rapa (field mustard). RNAcentral's name for it is "long non-coding RNA (BRAP_LNC005880)". The record is from RNAcentral. Lineage: Eukaryota; Viridiplantae; Streptophyta; Magnoliopsida; Brassicales; Brassicaceae.
GGAUAGAUGUUUAAUUUAGUAUUUCUACUUCUUAUGUUGUAUAUUUACUUAUUAUUUAUUUUACUAUACAUUUUUCAGAUAUGUGUUUAAUUUAUUUUUUCUACUUCUUAUAUUGUAUAUUUAUUUAUUUUUUUAUUUUUUUCUUAUAUUUUAUUUUUACUUAUUCUAUUAUUUUUUUUGUUUUUAUAUCAAAAGAUAAUAUUACGUUAGAUGUUUAAUGUAAUAUUUUUAUUUCUUAUAUUGUAUAUUUACUUAUUAUUUAUUUUUUAUAUUUUAUAUUUACCUAUUGUAAUAUUAUGAUAAAUGCUUAAUAUAAUAUUUAUAUUUUGUAUGUUGUAUAUUUACUUAUUAUUUAUUUUACUAUACAUUUUUCUGAUAGAUGUUUAAUUUAGUUUUUUUUCAUUUCUUAAUUUUAUAUUUACUUAUUAUUUAUUUUUUCGUAGAUUGUAUAUUUACUUAUUAUAAUUUUUUUGCUUUUAUAUCAAAUGAUAUUAUUAUGAUAUAUGUUAGUUUAUGUAAUAUUUCUAUUUCUUAUAUUGUAAUUUACUUAUUAUUUAUUUUUCUUUAUAUUGUAUAGUAACUUAUUAUUUAUUUUUGUUUUUUAGUAAUAAUUUCAUGUGGCUUUUUUUGGAAGAGAGAUUUUAUGCUUAUGUUGACACUCCACGGAGCCCUAAUAGUCCAUUUUAUCAGUUUUUUUUUAAUUUCUUAAUUUUAUAUUUACUUAUUGUUUAUUUUUUCUUAUAUUGUAUAUUUACUUAUUCUAAUUUUCUUGCUUUGAUAGAUGUUAAUUUAAUGUAAUAUUUAUAUUGCUUAUAUUGUGUGUUUACUUAUUAAUUAUUUUUACUUAUAUUGUAUAUUUAUUAUUAUGAUUAUUUGUUGUUAGUAAUAAUGCAAUGUGGCAUCUUUUGGAAAAAGAAUUUUAUGCUUAGGUGGACACUCCAUGGAGCCUCAAAUAGUCUAUUUUAUUAGUAUAGAUUGGUUUAGUAGAUGUGUAUACAUUUUGUGUGUACAUUCAACUAGAUCCAAAUGUUUUGUAUGUAACAAGUCAAUUACGAACUAACUAACUAAGUGAAGAUGUAGUAGUCAUUAAUUUGGUUAAAGCCAACAAAGAGUGGAAUGUUGGGUAAAGACUAGCUAGUUGUUAAGUUUAAAGAGGUUGUUAAAUUAGAAGUGAGUUAAAAUGUGUAUGAACUAAAAUCAUU